AUCGCAGGCUGCAACCCGCCUGCGUGAAGUUGGAAUCGCUGUAAUCGCGGAUCAGCAUGCCGCGGUGAAUACGUUCCCGGGCCUUGUACACACCGCCCGUCACACCAUGAGAGUCGGGAACACCCGAAGUCCGUAGCCUAACCGCAAGGGGGGCGCGGCCGAAGGUGGGUUCGAUAAUUGGGGUGAAGUCGUAACAAGGUAUC
Molecule: ribosomal RNA, 203 nt
Filed under: uncultured bacterium
Lineage: Bacteria
Description: partial 16S ribosomal RNA
Rfam family: Bacterial small subunit ribosomal RNA
Source: RNAcentral